This 27-nucleotide ribosomal RNA is filed under the name Meruliopsis leptocystidiata. RNAcentral describes it as "partial 28S ribosomal RNA". The record is from RNAcentral. Lineage: Eukaryota; Fungi; Basidiomycota; Agaricomycetes; Polyporales; Irpicaceae.
UGAUCUCAAAUCAGGUAGGACUACCCG